UUUGAAGGUUAUAGCACAGAUCCUGUCAUAAUGAAACUUACUGGUGGAGUGAAUCCAGAUAAUGUUUGGGUGUGGGAUAGCAAAAAAUUGCCUACUUUAACUGGGCAGGAUAUCUCCUCACAAAGAUCAUGGGUUUCUUUAUGGACAAGCACAGAAAAAUAAGAAACAUAAAUAUCUACCUUCCCACCACUGAUAGAUUUACCAGUAGAAGCUGAGAUAUUGAAGGUAGCUGGGUUGCCUGGCACUACAGGAUCAGGUGAUAUCUCAACUCCAUGGAUCUUUACAUCAUAGUUACCUUUAUUAUCACAGUACUUGACAAUAGUGGCUUGAAUUGAGGGUAAGAGCAGAUGAAUAGCAAAGAGAAGCAAAAGGGUUUGCUUCAACUGAGAAGAUGAUACAGCGUCCAUGGAUACUUUGCUAAGUUCCUUGCUUCUCAGAGACACAGGACUGA
RNAcentral lists this unclassified non-coding RNA (451 nucleotides) under Hevea brasiliensis (rubber tree). The record is from RNAcentral. Lineage: Eukaryota; Viridiplantae; Streptophyta; Magnoliopsida; Malpighiales; Euphorbiaceae.